UACGUAGGGGGCAAGCGUUGUCCGGAUUUAUUGGGCGUUAAAGAGCGUGUAGGCGGCUUUACAGGUCCGUUGUGAAAACUCGAGGCUCCAACCUCGAGACGGCCGGUGGAAACCGUAAAGCUAAGAGUCCGGAAGAGGAGAGUGGAAUUCCUGGGUGUAGCGGUGAAAUGCGCAGAUAUCAGGAAGAACACCCGUGGCGAAGGCGGCUCUCUGGGACGGU
RNAcentral lists this ribosomal RNA (220 nucleotides) under uncultured bacterium. Its description in RNAcentral is "partial 16S ribosomal RNA". It matches the Rfam family "Bacterial small subunit ribosomal RNA", at positions 524 to 738 of the family's 1533-position model. The record is from RNAcentral.